UACAGAGGGUGCAAGCGUUAAUCGGAAUUACUGGGCGUAAAGCGCGCGUAGGUGGUUUGUUAAGUUGGAUGUGUAAUCCCCGAGCUCAACUUGGGAACUGCAUCCAAGACUGGAUUGCUAGAGUGUGGCAGAGGGGGGUGGAAUUCCACGUGUAGCAGUGAAAUGCGUAGAGAUGUGGAGGAACACCGAUGGCGAAGGCAGCCCCCUGGGCCAAUACUGACGCUCAUGCACGAAAGCGUGGGGAGCAAACAGGAUUAGAAACCCUAGUAGU
Molecule: ribosomal RNA, 271 nt
Filed under: uncultured bacterium
Lineage: Bacteria
Description: partial 16S ribosomal RNA
Rfam family: Bacterial small subunit ribosomal RNA
Source: RNAcentral